UACGGAGGGGGCUAGCGUUGUUCGGAAUUACUGGGCGUAAAGCGCACGUAGGCGGCUUUGUAAGUUAGAGGUGAAAGCCCGGGGCUCAACUCCGGAAUUGCCUUUAAAACUGCAUCGCUAGAAUUGUGGAGAGGUAAGUGGAAUUCCGAGUGUAGAGGUGAAAUUCGUAGAUAUUCGGAAGAACACCAGUGGCGAAGGCGACUUACUGGACACAUAUUGACGCUGAGGUGCGAGAGCGUGGGGAGCAAACAGG
RNAcentral lists this ribosomal RNA (253 nucleotides) under uncultured bacterium. Its description in RNAcentral is "partial 16S ribosomal RNA". It matches the Rfam family "Bacterial small subunit ribosomal RNA", at positions 524 to 776 of the family's 1533-position model. The record is from RNAcentral.